CAGCAGCCGCGGUAAAACGAGGGGGGCAAGCGUUGUUCGGAAUUAUUGGGCGUAAAGGGUGCGUAGGCGGUUUGGCAAGUCUUGUGUGAAAUCUUCGGGCUCAACCCGAAGCCUGCACGAGAAACUGCCGGGCUUGAGUAUUGGAGAGGUGAGUGGAAUUUCCGGUGUAGCGGUGAAAUGCGCAGAUAUCGGAAGGAACACCUGUGGCGAAAGCGGCUCACUGGACAAUAACUGACGCUGAUGCACGAAAGCUAGGGGAGCAAACAGGAUUAGAUACCCCCGUAGUCCCUGUCUCUUAUAU
RNAcentral lists this ribosomal RNA (301 nucleotides) under uncultured bacterium. RNAcentral's name for it is "partial 16S ribosomal RNA". It matches the Rfam family "Bacterial small subunit ribosomal RNA", at positions 509 to 809 of the family's 1533-position model. The record is from RNAcentral.